UCUGAUGUUAGCGGCGGACGGGUGAGUAACACGUGGAUAACCUACCUAUAAGACUGGGAUAACUUCGGGAAACCGGAGCUAAUACCGGAUAAUAUUUUGAACCGCAUGGUUCAAAAGUGAAAGACGGUCUUGCUGUCACUUAUAGAUGGAUCCGCGCUGCAUUAGCUAGUUGGUAAGGUAACGGCUUACCAAGGCAACGAUGCAUAGCCGACCUGAGAGGGUGAUCGGCCACACUGGAACUGAGACACGGUCCAGACUCCUACGGGAGGCAGCAGUAGGGAAUCUUCCGCAAUGGGCGAAAGCCUGACGGAGCAACGCCGCGUGAGUGAUGAAGGUCUUCGGAUCGUAAAACUCUGUUAUUAGGGAAGAACAUAUGUGUAAGUAACUGUGCACAUCUUGACGGUACCUAAUCAGAAAGCCACGGCUAACUACGUGCCAGCAGCCGCGGUAAUACGUAGGUGGCAAGCGUUAUCCGGAAUUAUUGGGCGUAAAGCGCGCGUAGGCGGUUUUUUAAGUCUGAUGUGAAAGCCCACGGCUCAACCGUGGAGGGUCAUUGGAAACUGGAAAACUUGAGUGCAGAAGAGGAAAGUGGAAUUCCAUGUGUAGCGGUGAAAUGCGCAGAGAUAUGGAGGAACACCAGUGGCGAAGGCGACUUUCUGGUCUGUAACUGACGCUGAUGUGCGAAAGCGUGGGGAUCAAACAGGAUUAGAUACCCUGGUAGUCCACGCCGUAAACGAUGAGUGCUAAGUGUUAGGGGGUUUCCGCCCCUUAGUGCUGCAGCUAACGCAUUAAGCACUCCGCCUGGGGAGUACGACCGCAAGGUUGAAACUCAAAGGAAUUGACGGGGACCCGCACAAGCGGUGGAGCAUGUGGUUUAAUUCGAAGCAACGCGAAGAACCUUACCAAAUCUUGACAUCCUUUGACAACUCUAGAGAUAGAGCCUUCCCCUUCGGGGNUUAGAUACCCUGGUAGUCCACGCCGUAAACGAUGAGUGCUAAGUGUUAGGGGGUUUCCGCCCCUUAGUGCUGCAGCUAACGCAUUAAGCACUCCGCCUGGGGAGUACGACCGCAAGGUUGAAACUCAAAGGAAUUGACGGGGACCCGCACAAGCGGUGGAGCAUGUGGUUUAAUUCGAAGCAACGCGAAGAACCUUACCAAAUCUUGACAUCCUUUGACAACUCUAGAGAUAGAGCCUUCCCCUUCGGGGGACAAAGUGACAGGUGGUGCAUGGUUGUCGUCAGCUCGUGUCGUGAGAUGUUGGGUUAAGUCCCGCAACGAGCGCAACCCUUAAGCUUAGUUGCCAUCAUUAAGUUGGGCACUCUAAGUUGACUGCCGGUGACAAACCGGAGGAAGGUGGGGAUGACGUCAAAUCAUCAUGCCCCUUAUGAUUUGGGCUACACACGUGCUACAAUGGACAAUACAAAGGGCAGCGAAACCGUGAGGUCAAGCAAAUCCCAUAAAGUUUUUCUCAGUUCGGAUUGUAGUCUGCAACUCGACUACAUGAAGCUGGAAUCGCUAGUAAUCGUAGAUCAGCAUGCUACGGUGAAUACGUUCCCGGGUCUUGUACACACCGCCCGUCACACCACGAGAGUUUGUAACACCCGAAGCCGGUGGAGUAACCUUUUAGGAGCUAGCCGUCGAAGGUGGGACAAAUGAUUGGGGUGAAGUCGUAACAAGGUAGCCGUAUCGGAAGGUGCGGCUGGAUCACCU
This 1709-nucleotide ribosomal RNA is filed under the name Staphylococcus aureus. RNAcentral describes it as "bacterial SSU rRNA". It matches the Rfam family "Bacterial small subunit ribosomal RNA". The record is from RNAcentral. Lineage: Bacteria; Bacillati; Bacillota; Bacilli; Caryophanales; Staphylococcaceae.